RNAcentral lists this unclassified non-coding RNA (16 nucleotides) under synthetic construct. The record is from RNAcentral.
CUAGUUAGCUAACUAG